Molecule: ribosomal RNA, 509 nt
Filed under: uncultured microorganism
Description: bacterial SSU rRNA
Rfam family: Bacterial small subunit ribosomal RNA
Source: RNAcentral
GAGUUUGAUCUUGGCUCAGAUUGAACGCUGGCGGCAGGCCUAACACAUGCAAGUCGAGCGGAUGAAGGGAGCUUGCUCCUGGAUUCAGCGGCGGACGGGUGAGUAAUGCCUAGGAAUCUGCCUGGUAGUGGGGAUAACGUCCGGAAACGGGCGCUAAUACCGCAUACGUCCUGAGGGAGAAAGUGGGGGAUCUUCGGACCUCACGCUAUCAGACGAGCCUAGGUCGGAUUAGCUAGUUGGUGGGGUAAAGGCCUACCAAGGCGACGAUCCGUAACUGGUCUGAGAGGAUGAUCAGUCACACUGGAACUGAGACACGGUCCAGACUCCUACGGGAGGCAGCAGUGGGGAAUAUUGGACAAUGGGCGAAAGCCUGAUCCAGCCAUGCCGCGUGUGUGAAGAAGGUCUUCGGAUUGUAAAGCACUUUAAGUUGGGAGGAAGGGCAGUAAGUUAAUACCUUGCUGUUUUGACGUUACCAACAGAAUAAGCACCGGCUAACUUCGUGCCAGCCG